UGGUGUUUAUAGCGCAGUGGAACCACUCCGAACCAUACCGAACUCGGUUGUUAAACGCUGCUGCGACGAUAAUACUGAAAGAGGAGUCUUUUGGGAAAGUAGUUCAAUGCCAAAGCC
RNAcentral lists this ribosomal RNA (117 nucleotides) under Corynoplastis japonica. Lineage: Eukaryota; Rhodophyta; Rhodellophyceae; Rhodellales; Rhodellaceae. The record is from RNAcentral.